GACGAACGCUGGCGGCGUGCUUAACACAUGCAAGUCGAACGGAAAGGCCCUGCUUUUGUGGGGUGCUCGAGUGGCGAACGGGUGAGUAACACGUGAGUAACCUGCCCUUGACUUUGGUAUAACUUCAGGAAACUGGGGCUAAUACAGGAUAGGAGCUCCUGCUGCAUGGUGGGGGUUGGAAAGUUUCGGCGGUUGGGGAUGGACUCGCGGCUUAUCAGCUUGUUGGUGGGGUAGGGGCUUACCAAGGCUUUGACGGGUAGCCGGCCUGAGAGGGUGACCGGCCACAUUGGGACUGAGAUACGGCCCAGAGUGCUACGGGAGGCAGCAGUGGGGAAUAUUGCACAAUGGGCGGGAGUCUGAUGCAGCAACGCCGCGUGCGGGAUGACGGCCUUCGGGUUAUAAACCGCUUUCGCCUGUGACGAAGCGUGAGUGACGGUAAUGGGUAAAGAAGCACCGGCUAACUACGUG
RNAcentral lists this ribosomal RNA (468 nucleotides) under uncultured bacterium. RNAcentral describes it as "partial 16S ribosomal RNA". It matches the Rfam family "Bacterial small subunit ribosomal RNA", at positions 28 to 507 of the family's 1533-position model. The record is from RNAcentral.